This 165-nucleotide ribosomal RNA is filed under the name Manilkara boivinii. Its description in RNAcentral is "5.8S ribosomal RNA". It matches the Rfam family "5.8S ribosomal RNA". From Rfam's summary of the family: 5.8S ribosomal RNA (5.8S rRNA) is a component of the large subunit of the eukaryotic ribosome. Lineage: Eukaryota; Viridiplantae; Streptophyta; Magnoliopsida; Ericales; Sapotaceae. The record is from RNAcentral.
AAAACGACUCUCGGCAACGGAUAUCUCGGCUCUCGCAUCGAUGAAGAACGUAGCGAAAUGCGAUACUUGGUGUGAAUUGCAGAAUCCCGUGAACCAUCGAGUCUUUGAACGCAAGUUGCGCCCAAAGCCAGUAGGUAGAGGGCACGCCUGCCUGGGCGUCUCGCA